UUUAAUUAAAAAAAAACCAGA
Molecule: non-coding RNA, 21 nt
Filed under: Caenorhabditis elegans
Lineage: Eukaryota; Metazoa; Nematoda; Chromadorea; Rhabditida; Rhabditidae
Source: RNAcentral